Molecule: ribosomal RNA, 373 nt
Filed under: uncultured organism
Description: partial 16S ribosomal RNA
Rfam family: Bacterial small subunit ribosomal RNA
Source: RNAcentral
GUAGGUGGCAAGCGUUGUCCGGAAUUAUUGGGCGUAAAGCGCGCGCAGGCGGUUCUUUAAGUCUGAUGUGAAAGCCCACGGCUCAACCGUGGAGGGUCAUUGGAAACUGGAGAACUUGAGUACAGAAGAGGAAAGCGGAAUUCCACGUGUAGCGGUGAAAUGCGUAGAGAUGUGGAGGAACACCAGUGGCGAAGGCGGCUUUCUGGUCUGUAACUGACGCUGAGGCGCGAAAGCGUGGGGAGCAAACAGGGAUUAGAUACCCUGGUAGUCCACGCCGUAAACGAUGAGUGCUAAGUGUUAGGGGGGUUUCCGCCCCCUUAGUGCUGCAGCUAGCGCAUUAAGCACUCCGCCUGGGAGUACGGCCGCAAGGCUG